RNAcentral lists this transfer RNA (72 nucleotides) under Toxocara canis (dog roundworm). It matches the Rfam family "tRNA". Rfam says of the family: Transfer RNA (tRNA) molecules are approximately 80 nucleotides in length. Their secondary structure includes four short double-helical elements and three loops (D, anti-codon, and T loops). Lineage: Eukaryota; Metazoa; Nematoda; Chromadorea; Rhabditida; Toxocaridae. The record is from Rfam by way of RNAcentral.
CGAGCAGUAACUCAGUGAUAGAGCUUCCGCAUCAUAUGUGGAAGGACUUGGGUUCGAUUCCCGGCUGCUUCC